Molecule: ribosomal RNA, 728 nt
Filed under: uncultured bacterium
Lineage: Bacteria
Description: bacterial SSU rRNA
Rfam family: Bacterial small subunit ribosomal RNA
Source: RNAcentral
AUUGAACGCUGGCGGCAGGCUUAACACAUGCAAGUCGAACGAUGAAACUCUAGCUUGCUAGAGAUGAUUAGUGGCGGACGGGUGAGUAACAUUUAGGAAUCUGCCUAGUAGUGGGGGAUAGCUCGGGGAAACUCGAAUUAAUACCGCAUACGACCUACGGGUGAAAGGGGGCGCAAGCUCUUGCUAUUAGAUGAGCCUAAAUCAGAUUAGCUAGUUGGUGGGGUAAAGGCCUACCAAGGCGACGAUCUGUAACUGGUCUGAGAGGAUGAUCAGUCACACCGGAACUGAGACACGGUCCGGACUCCUACGGGAGGCAGCAGUGGGGAAUAUUGGACAAUGGGGGCAACCCUGAUCCAGCCAUGCCGCGUGUGUGAAGAAGGCCUUUUGGUUGUAAAGCACUUUAAGCAGGGAGGAGAGGCUAAUGGUUAAUACCCAUUAGAUUAGACGUUACCUGCAGAAUAAGCACCGGCUAACUCUGUGCCAGCAGCCGCGGUAAUACAGAGGGUGCGAGCGUUAAUCGGAAUUACUGGGCGUAAAGCUAGUGUAGGUGGCUCAUUAAGUCACAUGUGAAAUCCCCGGGCUUAACCUGGGAACUGCAUGUGAUACUGGUGGUGCUAGAAUAUGUGAGAGGGAAGUAGAAUUCCAGGUGUAGCGGUGAAAUGCGUAGAGAUCUGGAGGAAUACCGAUGGCGAAGGCAGCUUCCUGGCAUAAUAUUGACACUGAGAUUC